This is a long non-coding RNA of Zalophus californianus (California sea lion), 470 nucleotides long. RefSeq lists it as uncharacterized. The transcript is spliced from 3 exons. Lineage: Eukaryota; Metazoa; Chordata; Mammalia; Carnivora; Otariidae. The record is from RefSeq and is a predicted model, not a curated record.
UAGACCCAGAGCUCAUCCUCCUAAGUAGGAAAUACCUGUUGGCAGACGCCUUUGGCCCACGUGGGGUCAGGAAGUGGGGUGCCCUGGUCUACAGUUCUUCAGCAGCCACUAUACCUGUGGCUCCCCAUCUGUCCCGAGGGCAUCAUCGGUAAUCUCGCACUUACCUACCCUGGCAGCCAGGCAGUGAAACCAAAGAAGCUACCAGAAAUCAGCAAUCCCAUCUUUACCAUGCAUCUUCUGGAGGAGAAGAGAGGAAAUAUUUGGUAGUUUUUGUGCAAGUUCUGGGAUCAGUGCUCUCCUUUGCCCAAGCUCAAUCAUGGGACCAUCCCUGACCAGGAUCCCAUCCAGGAUACCACGUUUCGAUUAGUCAUCAAGUCUCCUGAGGCUCCUCUGGGUGGGAACAGUUUCACAGAUUUUUCUUGGUUUCCAUGACCUUGAUGGUUUUGAAGAGCACUGGUCAAGUAUUUUGG